This 253-nucleotide ribosomal RNA is filed under the name uncultured bacterium. Its description in RNAcentral is "partial 16S ribosomal RNA". It matches the Rfam family "Bacterial small subunit ribosomal RNA", at positions 524 to 776 of the family's 1533-position model. The record is from RNAcentral.
UACGAAGGGGGCUAGCGUUGCUCGGAAUCACUGGGCGUAAAGGGCGCGUAGGCGGCCGAUUAAGUCGGGGGUGGAAGCCUGUGGCUCAACCACAGAAUUGCCCUCGAUACUGGUUGGCUUGAGACCGGAAGAGGACAGCGGAACUGCGAGUGUAGAGGUGAAAUUCGUAGAUAUUCGCAAGAACACCAGUGGCGAAGGCGGCUGUCUGGUCCGGUUCUGACGCUGAGGCGCGAAAGCGUGGGGAGCAAACAGG